RNAcentral lists this ribosomal RNA (440 nucleotides) under uncultured bacterium. RNAcentral describes it as "partial 16S ribosomal RNA". It matches the Rfam family "Bacterial small subunit ribosomal RNA", at positions 338 to 795 of the family's 1533-position model. The record is from RNAcentral.
CCUACGGGUGGCAGCAGUAGGGAAUUUUGCGCAAUGGGCGAAAGCCUGACGCAGCAACGCCGCGUGAUCGAGACGCCCUUCGGGGUGGAAAGAUCUGUCAGUGGGGACGAAACUUGACGGUACCCACACAGGAAGCAACGGCUAACUCCGUGCCAGCAGCCGCGGUAAUACGGGGGGGGCAAGCGUUGUCCGGAGUCAUUGGGCGUAAGGAGGUCGUAGGCGGCAAGGAAAGUCUGGUGUGAACGGCCGGGGCUCAAAUUCUGUACGGCCCUUGAUACUGGCGAGCUAGAAUCCGGUAGAGGUAAAGGGAAUUCCUGGUGUAGCGGUGAAAUGCGUAGAUAUCAGGAGGAACAUCGGUGGCGUAAGCGCUUUACUGGGCCGUAAUUGACGCUGAGGAACGAAAGCCAGGGGAGCAAAUGGGAUUAGAUACCCCUGUAGUC